RNAcentral lists this ribosomal RNA (292 nucleotides) under uncultured bacterium. Its description in RNAcentral is "partial 16S ribosomal RNA". The record is from RNAcentral.
GGACUACCGGGGUUUCUAAUCCUGUUUGCUCCCCACGCUUUCGUGCAUGAGCGUCAGUGUUAUCCCAGGGGGCUGCCUUCGCCAUCGGUAUUCCUCCACAUCUCUACGCAUUUCACUGCUACACGUGGAAUUCUACCCCCCUCUGACACACUCUAGCCGUGCAGUCACAAAGGCCAUUCCCAGGUUAAGCCCGGGGAUUUCACCUCUGUCUUGCACAACCGCCUGCGCACGCUUUACGCCCAGUAAUUCCGAUUAACGCUCGCACCCUACGUAUUACCGCGGCUGCUGGCAC